UUAGCGGCGGACGGGUGAGUAACACGUGGAUAACCUACCUAUAAGACUGGGAUAACUUCGGGAAACCGGAGCUAAUACCGGAUAAUAUUUUGAACCGCAUGGUUCAAAAGUGAAAGACGGUCUUGCUGUCACUUAUAGAUGGAUCCGCGCUGCAUUAGCUAGUUGGUAAGGUAACGGCUUACCAAGGCAACGAUGCAUAGCCGACCUGAGAGGGUGAUCGGCCACACUGGAACUGAGACACGGUCCAGACUCCUACGGGAGGCAGCAGUAGGGAAUCUUCCGCAAUGGGCGAAAGCCUGACGGAGCAACGCCGCGUGAGUGAUGAAGGUCUUCGGAUCGUAAAACUCUGUUAUUAGGGAAGAACAUAUGUGUAAGUAACUGUGCACAUCUUGACGGUACCUAAUCAGAAAGCCACGGCUAACUACGUGCCAGCAGCCGCGGUAAUACGUAGGUGGCAAGCGUUAUCCGGAAUUAUUGGGCGUAAAGCGCGCGUAGGCGGUUUUUUAAGUCUGAUGUGAAAGCCCACGGCUCAACCGUGGAGGGUCA
RNAcentral lists this ribosomal RNA (546 nucleotides) under Staphylococcus aureus. RNAcentral describes it as "bacterial SSU rRNA". It matches the Rfam family "Bacterial small subunit ribosomal RNA", at positions 92 to 625 of the family's 1533-position model. Lineage: Bacteria; Bacillati; Bacillota; Bacilli; Caryophanales; Staphylococcaceae. The record is from RNAcentral.